Molecule: ribosomal RNA, 254 nt
Filed under: uncultured bacterium
Lineage: Bacteria
Description: partial 16S ribosomal RNA
Rfam family: Bacterial small subunit ribosomal RNA
Source: RNAcentral
UACGGAGGGUGCAAGCGUUGUCCGGAAUCACUGGGCGUAAAGGGCGCGUAGGCGGCUCAUGAAGGCUGUGGUGAAAGUCCGGGGCUCAACCUCGGAUCGGCCGUGGCGACUCGUGGGCUGGAGCACUGUAGAGGCGGGUGGAAUUCCGGGUGUAGCGGUGGAAUGCGUAGAGAUCCGGAAGAACACCAGUGGCGAAGGCGGCCCGCUGGGCAGUGGCUGACGCUGAGGCGCGACAGCGUGGGGAGGCAAACAGG